RNAcentral lists this ribosomal RNA (484 nucleotides) under uncultured bacterium. RNAcentral describes it as "partial 16S ribosomal RNA". It matches the Rfam family "Bacterial small subunit ribosomal RNA", at positions 30 to 507 of the family's 1533-position model. The record is from RNAcentral.
AUUGAACGCUGGCGGCAGGCCUAACACAUGCAAGUCGAGCGGAUGAAGGGUGCUUGCUCCUGGCUUCAGCGGCGGACGGGUGAGUAAUGCCUAGGAAUCUUCCUCGUCGUUUGUGAUUACGUCCGGAAACGGGCGCUAAUACCCCAUACGUCCUGAGGGAGAAAGUGGGGGAUCUUCGGAUCUUUCGCUCUCUGAUGAGCCUAGGUCGGAUUAGCUAGUUGGUGGGGUAAAGGCCUACCAAGGCGACGACCCGUAACUGGCCUGAGAGGAUGAUCAGGCACACUGGAACUGAGACACGGUCCAGACUCCUACGGGAGGCAGCAGUGGGGAAUAUUGGACAAUGGGCGAAAGCCUGAUCCAGCCAUGCCGCGUGGGUGAAGAAGGUCUUCGGGUUGUAAAGCACUUUUGGUGGGGAAGAAGAGCAGUAAGUUAAUACCUCGCUGUUUUGACGGUACCAAAAGAAUAAGCACCGGCUAACUUCGUG